This 1149-nucleotide ribosomal RNA is filed under the name Triticum aestivum (bread wheat). Its description in RNAcentral is "partial small subunit ribosomal RNA". Lineage: Eukaryota; Viridiplantae; Streptophyta; Magnoliopsida; Poales; Poaceae. The record is from RNAcentral.
AUGGUUGUGUCCGUUGUGCUGCUCACCAGCUGGCUCUUAUCAGUGGGCCUACCCUCCCAAGCCCUAAAUGUGAAAUCAAAGACCUUCCGUUCCCCUCCCAUCUUAUUGGCCCUUGGAUCAGUCUCAAACAAGUACUACUAUGAUGUUCUUCCCCGAGGCCACCUUGCCGUCAAGAGCUUUGACGCCGAGGUAGUCGACGAGAACGGCAUCCCCGUUCCACUCCACGAGACGUACCUGCAUCACUGGGUUGCAGUACCAUACUAUGCUUUGAAGAAGGGCCAUGGCGCGCGGAAGGGGAUACUCACAAGGAGGAACGAUGGAGUCUGCAAGACCAGUCUAGGGCAGUACUUCGGGCAUGGUUCUGAGACUCGCCACACCUCCACAUGGGUCCCUGAUCGUUAUGGCAUAGAGACCGGCAAUCCGGAGAAGGCCCCUCCAGGCUACGAGGAGAAAUGGUCCCUCAAUAUUCACGCCAUCGACACAAGGGGAGUUAUCGACAAGCCUGGGUGCACCGAGUGCAAGUGCGACCUUUACAACGUUACGGUUGGCGAGGACGGGCGAGCAAUCUCGAAGAACUACACUGGAGGAAUGCUCUGCUGCUAUGAUCAGACGCGGUGUCGGGUCAAACAAGGGUUCAUUGGGAACGCGCGGAAGCUGUUCUUUCAGUACACGGUGACGUGGCUCGACUGGACCGAUGCCAUGGUGCCGGUCAGUAUCUACGUAAUUGAUGUCAUUGAUACCGCUCUGCUCGCUGGAACUGCCCAGGGUUCUUGCAAGGUAUAUAUGCGUGGAGUAUCAUGCAGUCCAGAAAACCGAGCCCACAAUGAGUGUAUCCAUGUCAAGGCUGCUAGAGUGAUCUUACCUCGUGGAGGCGACAUCGUGCUCGGCGUCGGGCACCAGCACUCGAGCGGAACUGGUGCUUCUUUGCAUGGCCAGGACGGACGCCUUCUCUGUGAAUCGCUUCCAAUCUACGGCACAGGGAACGAGGCAAACUACAUGGUCGGCAUGUCGACGUGCUACCCCAAGCCGGGAUCCACCAAGAUGAGCGACGGCGAGGUGCUCAGCAGCGACCGCCGGCACACCGGCGUCAUGGGCCUGUUCUACGUCCUCGUACGUGGCCUAGCUAGCCGCCAUCCCGGCCGGUGCUGA